AGAUUGAACGCUGGCGGCAGGCCUAACACAUGCAAGUCGAGCGGUAGAGAGGUGCUUGCACCUCUUGAGAGCGGCGGACGGGUGAGUAAAGCCUAGGAAUCUGCCUGGUAGUGGGGGAUAACGCUCGGAAACGGACGCUAAUACCGCAUACGUCCUACGGGAGAAAGCAGGGGACCUUCGGGCCUUGCGCUAUCAGAUGAGCCUAGGUCGGAUUAGCUAGUUGGUGAGGUAAUGGCUCACCAAGGCGACGAUCCGUAACUGGUCUGAGAGGAUGAUCAGUCACACUGGAACUGAGACACGGUCCAGACUCCUACGGGAGCAGCAGUGGGAAUAUUGGACAAUGGGCGAAAGCCUGAUCCAGCCAUGCCGCGUGUGUGAAGAAGGUCUUCGGAUUGUAAAGCACUUUAAGUUGGAGAAGGCAUUAACCUAAUACGUUAGUGUUUUGACGUUACCGACAGAAUAAGCACCGGCUAACUCUGUG
RNAcentral lists this ribosomal RNA (481 nucleotides) under uncultured soil bacterium. RNAcentral describes it as "bacterial SSU rRNA". It matches the Rfam family "Bacterial small subunit ribosomal RNA", at positions 26 to 507 of the family's 1533-position model. The record is from RNAcentral.